ACCAUCAGCAACCAAAAGUUAUCAUCA
RNAcentral lists this small nuclear RNA (27 nucleotides) under Arabidopsis thaliana (thale cress). RNAcentral's name for it is "snRNA_15381". Lineage: Eukaryota; Viridiplantae; Streptophyta; Magnoliopsida; Brassicales; Brassicaceae. The record is from RNAcentral.